UUAUUUUAUUUCAAAACUUUUCAAUCCAAACACACUCAGUGUGUUAUGUGUGUUUCAGAUCGAGGCUAUGAAUUCCUCGAGAGAUUGGGUGGUGUUAUCAACUGCGGCGGUUUUGGGUGCUUUAGCCUCAACUUCGGUUAUAUCUUUCUACUUUUUCUUCAACGGCAAAAGAAAGCGCUUCCCCUUUUCCUCCGCCACCUCCAACGGCCGCCGGAGCAGCAGCAACGUCGUCGUCUUCAAUUCGUCGUCUAACGGCUCUGAUGAGAGUCGGGAGAUUAAAGCUCAACCCUUGAACCCUUUUGAUCCCUCCAGACGAAAAGGAUAUUUGUCAUGGGAUGACUACUUUAUGGCAAUAGCAUUUCUAUCAGCUGAGAGGUCUAAAGAUCCCAAUAGGCAGGUUGGUGCAUGUUUGGUCAGUCAAAAUGGCAUCAUAUUAGGCAUUGGCUAUAAUGGAUUCCCACGUGGGUGUUCGGACGAUAUGCUUCCAUGGUCAAAGAAAUCCAAGAACGGAAAUCCACUGGAGACAAAGUACCCUUAUGUUUGUCAUGCUGAAGUCAAUGCAAUUCUUAAUACAAAUCAUGCAUCUGCUGCAGGACAGGUUAGCUCCAACUUUGAAUUCUCUCUUCUUCAGUUCUUAGAAACUCUAUGUUACUAUGUUUCCAUGCAACGAAUGUGCAAAGAUUAUUAUCCAGUCAGGUGUGUCAGAAGUGAUAUACUUUGUGGAGAAGAGGUUGGAUAACUCUCAAACUACCUACGUUGCAUCACAAAAACUUCUAUCCAUGGCUGGUGUGAAAAUUAGAAGACAUCAACCUCAGAUGAAUCAGAUUUUGAUCAAAUUUCAGGAGCUAUAGGGGAUGUGCCGAGGGUUUAUGUCACAGGGUAUAUUAGUACCUGUCAACUAACCAAUGCGUAUCAAUGCUCCCUUUUGCAUUUGCAGUUCAAGAGCCAAGUUAUUUUCGCAUUACAAGGUGAUUACCCAAAUGAGGAGAAAGGAAUUGGUCAGACUUGUAUUCCGGGAGCCAAGAGACCUGGUCCAUGGAUGUAUGAAUCAUAUAACUGGACGAAAAGAUGUCUGUUUUGUAUCUGAUUCAUAGUAUUGAUGUUGUACGUGUUUGAAGAUGAUUAUUCCUUGUAAUUGAAAAGCAGACUUGGUUGUCUUCCUCCUUCAUUUUGACAAGAAAAAGGGAGCAAAAACACAAUUAGCUAAAA
This is an RNA transcript of Coffea arabica (coffee), 1209 nucleotides long. RefSeq lists it as uncharacterized. The record is from RefSeq and is a predicted model, not a curated record. NCBI's taxonomy places the organism in Eukaryota, Viridiplantae, Streptophyta, Magnoliopsida, Gentianales, Rubiaceae.